This 359-nucleotide long non-coding RNA is filed under the name Brassica napus (rape). RNAcentral's name for it is "long non-coding RNA (BNAP_LNC013859)". Lineage: Eukaryota; Viridiplantae; Streptophyta; Magnoliopsida; Brassicales; Brassicaceae. The record is from RNAcentral.
CACCUUGGUUGCUCCUCCUCAGCCUCCUCUACCAGAUGGUACUAAUGCUUUAUCUGCUUCUUUGCCGCUUCCCCCUCCACCUCCUUUGCCACCAACUACAGGCCUUGCUUUACCCCAUCCACAAUUUCCACCACCGCCUCCUGGUCCCCCUCCAAAUGAACAUGAUCUGGGUCGAUCAUGAGCUACAUCUAGCUAAUAGAUUACGGAAAAUUAUUUAUCUACCUCCAAAUGAACAUGAUCUGGCUCUGGUUCGUCUUCCACUUCCUCAAUCCUCCCAACUCCCUCCUCCUGUUCUAAAUGGAAGUGAAGGCGAUGGCAGGUUCCCUGAAUCUUCAGUUCAAACCUUCGACGAGGGCAAG